This 468-nucleotide ribosomal RNA is filed under the name uncultured bacterium. RNAcentral describes it as "partial 16S ribosomal RNA". It matches the Rfam family "Bacterial small subunit ribosomal RNA", at positions 28 to 507 of the family's 1533-position model. The record is from RNAcentral.
GACGAACGCUGGCGGCGUGCUUAACACAUGCAAGUCGAACGGAAAGGCCCUGGUUUUGUGGGGGGCGCGAGUGGCGAACGGGUGAGUAACACGUGAGUAACCUGCCCUGUACUUUGGGAUAACUUCAGGAAACUGGGGCUAAUACCGGAUAGGAGCUCCUGCUGCAUGGUGGGGGUUGGAAAUUUUCGGCGGUUGGGGAUGGACUCGCGGCUUAUCAGCUUGUUGGGGGGGUAGUGGCUUACCAAGGCUUUGACGGGUAGCCGGCCUGAGAGGGUGACCGGCCACAUUGGGACUGCGAUACGGCCCAGACUCCUACGGGAGGCAGCAGUGGGGAAUAUUGCACAAUGGGCGGAAGCCUGAUGCAGCAACGCCGCGUGCGGGAUGACGGCCUUCCGGUUGUAAACCGCUUUCGCCUGUGACGAAGCGUGAGUGACGGUAAUGGGUAAAGAAGCACCGGCUAACUACGUG